RNAcentral lists this ribosomal RNA (161 nucleotides) under Myrica gale (bog myrtle). Its description in RNAcentral is "5.8S ribosomal RNA". It matches the Rfam family "5.8S ribosomal RNA". Rfam says of the family: 5.8S ribosomal RNA (5.8S rRNA) is a component of the large subunit of the eukaryotic ribosome. The record is from RNAcentral. Lineage: Eukaryota; Viridiplantae; Streptophyta; Magnoliopsida; Fagales; Myricaceae. RNAcentral also lists the same sequence under 4 other names.
CAAAACGACUCUCGGCAACGGAUAUCUCGGCUCUCGCAUCGAUGAAGAACGUAGCGAAAUGCGAUACUUGGUGUGAAUUGCAGAAUCCCGCGAAUCAUCGAGUUUUUGAACGCAAGUUGCGCCCAAAGCCGUUUGGCCGAGGGCACGUCUGCCUGGGUGUC